Molecule: RNase P RNA, 368 nt
Filed under: Lactobacillus sp.
Lineage: Bacteria; Bacillati; Bacillota; Bacilli; Lactobacillales; Lactobacillaceae
Also listed under: 3 other names
Description: RNase P RNA component class B
Rfam family: Bacterial RNase P class B
About the family: Ribonuclease P (RNase P) is a ubiquitous endoribonuclease, found in archaea, bacteria and eukarya as well as chloroplasts and mitochondria.
Source: RNAcentral
AAUUUUGAGCAGUCGCGGUUUGACUUUUUAAGUCAGGCUGAGGAAAGUCCACGCACACACAAGCUGCGAUGCUUGUAGUGAUCGUAUUUAGCCCAAUAAGCUAAAGGAUUUUAAACAAUUACGGCGAAAAAAAUGCUAAGUUAGUAAUAAUAUGCAUGAAUAUUCUGAAAAGUGCCACAGUGACGAAGCUUGAGUGGAAACACUCUUGGUGGAACGAGGUAAACCCUGCGAGUGUGCAACCCAAAUUUGGUGGGGGCGUCUCAACCAAAAGGAAAUGAACUAAAUGGUUGGAUUGCUUUUUAGCAAAGAUAGAUGGCUGCUGAAGGUAAUUAUGCCAAAAUUACUGGAACAGAACGUGGCUUAUAGAA